This 3025-nucleotide small RNA is filed under the name Pongo abelii (Sumatran orangutan). RNAcentral's name for it is "retained intron". The record is from RNAcentral. Lineage: Eukaryota; Metazoa; Chordata; Mammalia; Primates; Hominidae.
GGCAGUUGGAGGAGUGGGCUGGCUUUCCUGGCUGUGAUCAAGGCCAUUGACCCCAGCCUAGUGGACAUGAAACAGGCCCUGGAAAAUUCCACACGAGAAAAUCUAGAGAAGGCUUUCAGCAUCGCACAGGAUGCCCUGCACAUCCCCAGGCUCCUGGAGCCAGAAGACAUCAUGGUUGACACACCAGAUGAGCAGUCUAUCGUGACUUACGUGGCACAGUUUCUAGAACGUUUUCCGGAGUUGGAAGCCGAAGAUAUUUUCGAUUUAGAUAAAGAAGUUCCUAUCGAAUCCACUUUUGUUCGCAUCAAAGAAACUCCUUCUGAACAGGAGAGCAAAGUCUUCGUUCUGACUGAAAAUGGGGAGCGUACCUACACUGUUAACCACGAAACCAGCCACCCACCACCCUCCAAAGUCUUUGUCUGUGACAAGCCCGAGAGCAUGAAGGAAUUCCGCCUGGAUGGUGUUUCCAGCCAUGCACUGUCAGACAGCUCCACCGAGUUCAUGCACCAGAUCAUUGACCAGGUCCUGCAAGGGGGCCCAGGUAAGACCAGUGACAUCAGUGAGCCAUCUCCAGAAUCCUCCAUUUUAUCAUCCAGAAAGGAGAGCGGGAGGUCCAACUCUUUGCCGAACAAGAAAACAGUUCACUUUGAGGCUGACACCUACAAGGAUCCUUUCUGCAGUAAGAACCUGUCCCUUUGCUUUGAAGGGAGCCCGAGAGUGGCAAAGGAAUCAUUGAGGCAGGAUGGACACGUCUUGGCAGUUGAGGUUGCUGAGGAAAAGAAACAGAAACAGGAAUCCUCGAAGAUUCCAGAAUCCUCCUCUGACAAGGUCCCUGGUGACAUUUUUUUGGUGGAGGGCACAAACAAUAAUUCUCAGUCUUCUUCCUGUAAUGGCGCUUUAGAGAGUACAGCCCACCACGAUGAAGAAAGUCACUCUCUUUCAUCCCCAGGAGAAAAUACUGUGAUGGCCGAUUCCUUCCAGAUCAAGGUUAACCUGAUGACUGUAGAAGCUUUAGAGGAGGGAGACUAUUUUGAAGCCAUCCCAUUAAAAGCCUCAAAAUUUAACAGCGACCUAAUAGAUUUUGCUUCUACCAGCCAGGCUUUCAGCAAAGUCCCUUCACCUCAUGAGUCAAAACCUGACAAGGAUGCUGAGGCUUUUGAGAAUCAUGCUGAAAAACUAGGUAAAAGGAGUACUAAAUCUGCUCACAAAAAGAAGGAUUCGCCAGAGCCUCAAGUUAAGAUGGACAAAUAUGAACCUCAUCAGGACUCCGGAGAAGAAGCUGAAGGCUGUCCUUCAGCCCCAGAAGAGACACCAAUGGAUAAAAAGCCAGAGGUGCAUGAAAAGGCCAAGAGAAAGUCCACCCGUCCUCAUUAUGAAGAAGAGGGAGAAGACGAUGACCUCCAGGGUGUGGGCGAGGAAUUAUCUUCCAGCCCCCCAAGCAGCUGUGUCAGCUUGGAGACCCUUGGGAGUCACAGCGAAGAAGGCCUGGAUUUCAAGCCCUCCCCACCCCUCUCAAAGGUUUCCGUCAUUCCCCAUGACCUCUUCUAUUUCCCACACUAUGAGGUUCCCUUGGCUGCAGUUUUGGAGGCUUAUGUAGAAGACCCGGAGGUUCUAAAAAAUGAAGAAAUGGAUCUGGAAGAGCCAGAGGGCUAUAUGCCAGACCUGGACUCCAGGGAGGAGGAGGCCGAUGGCUCUCAGAGCAGCUCCAGUUCCUCGGUGCCAGGCGAGAGUCUCCCCAGUGCCAGCGACCAGGUGCUGUGUCUCAGCAGGGGUGGUGUGGGUGCCACACCAGCCUCGGAACCCGCUCCACUGGCCCCCUAUGAGGACCACCAGCAAAGGGAGACCAAAGAGAAUGACCCCAUGGACAGCCAUCAGUCCCAGGAAUCCCCAAACCUGGAAAACACAGCAAACCCCCUAGAAGAAAAUGUAACGAAAGAAUCAAUCAGUAGUAAAAAAAAGGAAAAAAGGAAACAUGUGGACCACGUAGAAAGUUCACUAUUUGUAGCACCAGGAAGUGUUCAAUCCUCAGAUGACCUAGAAGAAGACACUAGCGACUACAGCAUUCCUUCCAGGACUAGUCACAGUGACUCCAGCAUUUACAUUCGACGACAUACUAAUAGGUCUUCGGAAUCGGUUAGUAUGUGAAUUUCUUCUCUUUCUGCACGGCCCCUGCUAAUCGAUUCCUUUCCAUCCUUCCUCCUCCCCAACCCAGAGCUUUGAAAUUACUGACGUGCAACAGCCAUACUUUUGGAUAGAAGACAAGCAAAUUGAAACCUUGUCAUUAAGCACAGUCCAAUCGGAUAUCCGGUUUGGGCAAUAAGGGAUGUAAAUAAAGUGAUGAUUUUAAAGCCCAAAGGCCUCUUUGUUAUAAAAAUGCAUCCAAAACCCCCCACCUGGACCCCCCCACACACACCCAGAAGGAUCACGUUCGAAGACAGAGGUGCAACAUGAGUCAACGUCCGAUGGACAGUUGCACGUGCUUAGUAGCAGAUGUGUUAGAACCCGGAGCAGCACACCCCAAUUCGGGUUCCGGGUGGUGGGGUCUCUCAUGCUCAGAAGGGAGGGGCUUGGGGGAGGAGGUAGAGGAAUGUAUAUUGUUUAGCACUUUGAUUUUGGAUCUAGAUGCUGACAGUAUUGAGAAAUGCCUGGCAUGCUCGGCUUUGUGUGUUUAAAAUCGUUUUAUUUUCUGUUUCAGAGAUUUCAUCUUUACUAAUUGGGUGGCGGGGGUUUUGUUUAUAAAUUUCACUGUAGGACCAUUUUAGCUAUGUUCAGUUGAGGAACGCAGCAGAUCUGGAUGACAGAAGAAACCGAAUGUUAACCAGGAAGGCCAACAGCUCAGGAGAAGCCAUGUCACUGGGGAGCCACAGCCCGCAGAGCGACUCCCUGACACAGCUUGUCCAGCAGCCGGAUAUGAUGUAUUUUAUUGUUUUCCUGUGGCUGCUGGUGUACUGCUUGCUGCUCUUCCCACAACUGGAUGUUAACAGGCUCUGAUACGUGUGUCUGGAUAAUAAAAAAGACAGGACCC